This is a long non-coding RNA of Hibiscus syriacus, 312 nucleotides long. RefSeq lists it as uncharacterized. The transcript is spliced from 2 exons. NCBI's taxonomy places the organism in Eukaryota, Viridiplantae, Streptophyta, Magnoliopsida, Malvales, Malvaceae. The record is from RefSeq and is a predicted model, not a curated record.
CCUGCAGACACACCACAAAGUCAUUCACGAUGGCAUACGAUACAUUAAAAAAUUUCAAUUUUUCCUAUAGUUUUAACAUGAUAAACACAAUCUCCAUUAAUUGAUGGUUUGGUUAAUGAUAAACUCUAAAGGUAGUAAACUCGUCCAGCACAUAACAAGCUACAUGCAUUCAGCAGUUAAACUAUUUGCACAAUUGAUCAGCAUCUGAACAGCCACCAACUACUUCAACAAUAUGUUUUGCGGAAAAAAAUCAUUCAAAAAGAAGACACCAUGUAUAUGGGCAUCCAAUACAGGAAAUCAUCAGCAAAGUCC